This 510-nucleotide ribosomal RNA is filed under the name Haptophyta environmental samples. Its description in RNAcentral is "SSU rRNA". It matches the Rfam family "Eukaryotic small subunit ribosomal RNA", at positions 451 to 966 of the family's 1831-position model. The record is from RNAcentral. Lineage: Eukaryota; Haptophyta.
CUGACACAGGGAGGUAGUGACAAGAAAUAACAAUACAGGGCUACUUCUAGUCUUGUAAUUGGAAUGAGUACAACUUACAUCUCUUCACGAGGAUCAAUUGGAGGGCAAGUCUGGUGCCAGCAGCCGCGGUAAUUCCAGCUCCAAUAGCGUAUAUUAAAGUUGUUGCAGUUAAAAAGCUCGUAGUCGGAUUUCGGGGCGGGGCGAGCGGUCUGCCGAUGGGUAUGCACUGUUCGGCGCGUCCUUCUUUCCGGAGACCGGUCCUACUCUUAGCUGAGCGGGGUCGGGAGACGGAAUAUUUACUUUGAAAAAUCAGAGUGUUUAACGCGGGCAUCUCGCUUUUGAAUGGAUUAGCAUGGGAUAAUGAAAUAGGACUCGGGUGCUAUUUUGUUGGUUUCGAAAACCGGAGUAAUGAUUAAAAGGGACAGUCAGGGGCACUAGUAUUCUGUUGAGAGAGGUGAAAUUCUCAGACCAAUGGAAGACGAACCACUGCGAAAGCAUUUGCCAGGGAUG